Molecule: unclassified non-coding RNA, 233 nt
Filed under: Hevea brasiliensis (rubber tree)
Lineage: Eukaryota; Viridiplantae; Streptophyta; Magnoliopsida; Malpighiales; Euphorbiaceae
Source: RNAcentral
AGAAAUUGAUCGACACUUCAUAAAGAAGAAAAUAGUAGAUGAAUCUUUAAGUGUCUCUCAUGUGACUUCAAAAGAAUAAGUGACUUCAAAAGAAUAAGUGACAGAUGUGUUUACUAAAGGAUUAAGCAGCAAAUUAUUCCAUACUUUGAUUUGCAAGUUGGACAUGUGUACCAUACUUGAACCAACUUGAGACGGAGUAUUGAAACCUCGUGUUUCAUUCACAGUAGAAUUUG